Molecule: ribosomal RNA, 473 nt
Filed under: uncultured bacterium
Lineage: Bacteria
Description: bacterial SSU rRNA
Rfam family: Bacterial small subunit ribosomal RNA
Source: RNAcentral
ACUCCUACGGGAGGCAGCAGUGGGGAAUAUUGCACAAUGGGGAAACCCUGAUGCAGCCAUGCCGCGUGUGUGAAGAAGGCCUUCGGUUGUAAAGCACUUUCAGUAGGGAGGAAGGUAGUGUAGUUAACACCUGCAUUAUUUGACGUUACCUACAGAAGAAGCACCGGCUAACUCCGUGCCAGCAGCCGCGGUAAUACGGAGGGGUGCGAGCGUUAAUCGGAAUUACUGGGCGUAAAGCGCAUGCAGGCGGCCUGUUAAGUCAGAUGUGAAAGCCCGGGGGCUUAACCUCGGAAUUGCAUUUGAAACUGGCAGGCUAGAGUCUUGUAGAGGGGGGUAGAAUUUCAGGUGUAGCGGUGAAAUGCGUAGAGAUCUGAAGGAAUACCAGUGGCGAAGGCGGCCCCCUGGACAAAGACUGACGCUCAGAUGCGAAAGCGUGGGGAGCAAACAGGAUUAGAUACCCUGGUAGACUGUCA